GACGAACGCUGGCGGCGUGCUUAACACAUGCAAGUCGAACGGAAAGGCCCUGCUUUUGUGGGGUGCUCGAGUGGCGAACGGGUGAGUAACACGUGAGUAACCUGCCCUUGACUUUGGGAUAACUUCAGGAAACUGGGGCUAAUACCGGAUAGGAGCUCCUGCUGCAUGGUGGGGGUUGGAAAGUUUCGGCGGUUGGGGAUGGACUCGCGGCUUAUCAGCUUGUUGGUGGGGUAGUGGCUUACCAAGGCUUUGACGGGUAGCCGGCCUGAGAGGGGGACCGGCCACAUUGGGACUGAGGUACGGCCCAGACUCCUACGGGAGGCAGCGGUGGAGAGUAUUGCACAAUGGGCGGAAGCCUGAUGCAGCAACGCCGCGUGCGGGAUGACGGCCUUCGGGUUGUAAACCGCUUUCGCCUGUGACGAAGCGUGAGUGACGGUAAUGGGUAAAGAAGCACCGGCUAACUACGUG
Molecule: ribosomal RNA, 468 nt
Filed under: uncultured bacterium
Lineage: Bacteria
Description: partial 16S ribosomal RNA
Rfam family: Bacterial small subunit ribosomal RNA
Source: RNAcentral